This 478-nucleotide ribosomal RNA is filed under the name uncultured bacterium. Its description in RNAcentral is "partial 16S ribosomal RNA". It matches the Rfam family "Bacterial small subunit ribosomal RNA", at positions 28 to 507 of the family's 1533-position model. The record is from RNAcentral.
GACGAACGCUGGUGGCGUGCUUAACACAUGCAAGUCGAACGGGAUUUAGUAAACAGAAGCCUCGGUGGAAGAUUACUAAUGAGAGUGGCGAACGGGUGAGUAACGCGUGAGCAACCUGCCUAUGACAGUGGGAUAGCCUCGGGAAACCGGGAUUAAUACCGCAUAAAAUCGUAGAAACACAUGUUUUAACGGUCAAAGAUUUAUCGGUCAUAGAUGGGCUCGCGUCUGAUUAGCUAGUUGGUGAGAUAACAGCCCACCAAGGCGACGAUCAGUAGCCGGUCUGAGAGGAUGAACGGCCACAUUGGAACUGAGACACGGUCCAAACUCCUACGGGAGGCAGCAGUGGGGAAUAUUGCACAAUGGGGGAAACCCUGAUGCAGCGACGCCGCGUGAACGAAGAAGGUAUUCGUAUCGUAAAGUUCUGUCAUAUGGGAAGAUAAUGACAGUACCAUAGAAGAAAGCUCCGGCUAAAUACGUG